CAAACGACUCUCGGUAACGGAUAUCUCGGCUCUCGCAUCGAUGAAGAAUGUAGAGAAAUGCGAUACUUGGUGUGAAUUGCAGAAUAUCGUGAACCAUCGAGUUUUUGAAUGCAAGUUACGCCAGAAGCCAUUAGGCCGAGGGCAUGACUGCUUGGGCGUCACGC
Molecule: ribosomal RNA, 164 nt
Filed under: Solanum evolvulifolium
Lineage: Eukaryota; Viridiplantae; Streptophyta; Magnoliopsida; Solanales; Solanaceae
Description: 5.8S ribosomal RNA
Rfam family: 5.8S ribosomal RNA
About the family: 5.8S ribosomal RNA (5.8S rRNA) is a component of the large subunit of the eukaryotic ribosome. It is transcribed by RNA polymerase I as part of the 45S precursor that also contains 18S and 28S rRNA.
Source: RNAcentral